RNAcentral lists this ribosomal RNA (479 nucleotides) under uncultured bacterium. RNAcentral describes it as "partial 16S ribosomal RNA". It matches the Rfam family "Bacterial small subunit ribosomal RNA", at positions 28 to 507 of the family's 1533-position model. The record is from RNAcentral.
GAUGAACGCUAGCGGGAGGCCUAACACAUGCAAGUCGAGCGGUAAUGCUUCUUCUGAAAUGAGCGAGCGGCGUACGGGCGCGUAACACGUGUGCAUCCUGCCCUUAUUUGGGGAAUAGCCUUUCGAAAGGAAGCUUAAUCCUCCAUAAUAUAUUGAACGUCAUUGCUUAAUAUUCAAAGCUCCUGUGGAUAGCGAUGGGCACGCGCGACGUUGGCUAGUUGGUGAGGUAACGGCUUACCAGGGCGAUGAUCUUUAGGGGGCCUGGGAGGGUGAUCCCCCACACUAGAGCUGAGACACGGACCAGAGUACUGCGGGAGGCAGCAGUGAGGAAUAGUAGGCAGUGGGUGCAAGCCUUAGCCAGCCAUCCCGCGUGAAGGACGGCUGCCCUGUGGGUUGUAAACUUCUUUUAUGUAGGGAUAGACCUACCCUCGGGGAGGUAGCUGAAGGUACUGGAGGAAUAAGCACCGGCUAACUCCGUG